This 1743-nucleotide small RNA is filed under the name Histoplasma capsulatum var. duboisii H88. Its description in RNAcentral is "Histoplasma capsulatum H88 hypothetical RNA". The record is from RNAcentral. Lineage: Eukaryota; Fungi; Ascomycota; Eurotiomycetes; Onygenales; Ajellomycetaceae.
CUUCUCACCACGCGUGCUCGAAGCUUGCAUACAGCCUAUUCACAUGGUAUAGGCUGGCGCUGGACUGCUCAGCGGGUGGAUAAGCCCUAGUUCACAGGACGGAAUAAACUCAAUUCACUCGCUGGUGAAGAGCUACCAUCCCAGGAUGUGCAACCGCUAAGCUACGCUUCUCUCACGUCCAUCCAGCGCAUGUCCUCCGUCGCAUCCUCGACUCAGUUACGGAUUCCAGAAGGGGGCAUAAACUAUCCUAAGAUACGUAGGUGGAUACGGUGAUUUUCGUACUCCGGUCGCGAAAGGGAAUCAAAAUAAAUCCCCACUCCUCGAAACCAACCACCAGGCCCCCCCACCGACGGCCCAGACAAAUUCGCCCAUUAGCUACCCCCAUACACAUCGUAACAGAAUACCCGUCCAAAAGAAAACGAAUACACGCCACAUAUAUAUAAUAUAGAAUGUCCGUCUGGAAUCCAGAAAACAUCCGCGACGUCGCCGAAUCAGUCGGCAUCGGCGCCCUCAGCGACGAAGUGGUCGACAACCUCGCGCGCGAUGUCGAAUACCGCAUUUCGCAGGUCCUCGAGGAGGCGCUGAAAUUCAUGCGCCAUGCCAAACGUACGUUGCUGACGACGCAGGAUGUUUCGCACGCGCUGCGCGUGUUGGAUGUGGAGCCGCUGUAUGGCUACGAGUCGACGAGGCCGUUGCGGUUCGGCGAGGCGACGUUGGGCCCUGGACAGCCGCUUUUCUAUGUGGAGGAUGACGAGGUUGAUUUUGAGAAGUUGAUUAAUGCGCCGUUGCCGAGGGUGCCGAGGGAGAUUACGUUUACGGCGCACUGGCUGGCCGUCGAGGGAGUGCAGCCUACAAUACCACAGAACCCCGCGGGGGCGGAUUCGCGGAAUCUCGAAUUGGUGUCCAAGGGUCCCAAUGCCAAUGCCAAUCUCGCAGCGAUGAGCGGGAACGACAACGUCACUGUCAAACCGUUGGUGAAACACAUCCUCUCCAAAGAGCUGCAACUCUACUUCGAGAAAGUGUGCACUGCGUUCCUAGACGAGUUAAACGAUGAGUACCGGCUCUCUGCAUUCUCAAGUUUGAAAGACGACCCGGGCCUGCAUCAGCUCGUGCCGUAUUUCGUCCAGUUCAUCUCCGAGAAAGUCACGCAUAGCCUCAAGGACCUAUUCGUGCUGACGCAGGUCAUGCAUAUGACCGAGGCGCUGAUCCAGAAUAAAACGCUCUAUGUGGAUCCUUACGUCCCUUCCCUCAUCCCCCCAGUCCUCACCUGCCUCCUCGGCCGCCAACUGGGUACCAGCACCGGCGCGGCCGAUCACCUCGAACACUUCGCCCUCCGCGACCUCGCAGCCUCCCUCAUCAGCAUGAUAGCGCGCAAGUACUCGCACUCCUCGCACACCCUCCGCCCCCGCCUCGCGCGCACAUUUCUGAGAGACUUCCUGGACCCGGGCAAGCCGCUGGGCACGCACUACGGCGCCAUCAUCGGCCUGCAGUCCAUCGGCGGCGUUGAUGUGGUGCGUGAACUCAUCGUGCCGAAUCUGAAGACGUAUGAGAUUGUGUUGAAGGAUGCGACUGCUACGACGACAGGGGCUGGUGCGGGUGCCAGCGCCGGGUCAGGGGUGGAGGAAACGGUGAGGAGGUUGGAGGCCGAGAAGGUUAUUGGGGUUAUAUUGGCGGUGUUGGGGACGUUGGGCGAUGGUGAACUGCAGGCAGGGAUGGAGAUGGUGACAAAUGGGGUUUCGGAGA